This 429-nucleotide ribosomal RNA is filed under the name uncultured bacterium. RNAcentral's name for it is "bacterial SSU rRNA". It matches the Rfam family "Bacterial small subunit ribosomal RNA", at positions 355 to 776 of the family's 1533-position model. The record is from RNAcentral.
UGGGGAAUAUUGGACAAUGGGGGCAACCCUGAUCCAGCAAUGCCGCGUGUGUGAAGAAGGCCUGAGGGUUGUAAAGCACUUUCAGUGGGGAGGAGAAUUAGUAGGUUAAGAGCUGAUUAAUUGGACGUUACCCACAGAAGAAGCACCGGCUAACUCCGUGCCAGCAGCCGCGGUAAUACGGAGGGUGCAAGCGUUAAUCGGAAUUACUGGGCGUAAAGGGUGCGUAGGUGGUUAAUUAAGUUAGAUGUAAAAACCCUGGGCUUAACCUGGGACUGAGAUUUAAUACUGGUUAACUUGAGUAUGGGAGAGGGUAGUGGAAUUUCCGGUGUAGCGGUGAAAUGCGUAGAGAUCGGAAGGAACACCAGUGGCGAAGGCGGCUACCUGGCCUAAUACUGACACUGAGGCACGAAAGCGUGGGGAGCAAACAGG